AUGUUGGAUUACAGUCUGCAACCAUUCAGGAUGGUUUUCGAAGAAAUGAGAGCCCAAGCAAGGAAGAUUGAUGAAGGAAUCAGUGCUCUGGAAAAGAAACUUCAGAACCCAUCACUGAUUGGAUACUUGGAUGAUGAUGUGCAGGAGCGGGCAGUUCAAAUCCUGGACGAACUUUUACAAGAAAUGGAUAUCAUUGAUAGCGAGGUGUCUAAGUAUUCAGCAGAUAUGACUGAAGACCUUCAUGAUAUCAAAAGCAACUGCGAAAGUCUCGAGAGCUACAUUGAAACAAUGGAAGAGAACAUUGACACAAUGACAGAAUUUGGAAAACAGUAUGGAUAUCUUCCUCCAGCUCAUUUAGUUGAGACCAAUGAGUCGGAUGAUUCUGAUUUAUCACAACUAUCACAAAAUUAUGAAAGUUCUGUUAAGAUUGAAGAUGAAACUCCUAUUUUAAUUGAUAGUGGAAUGUCAAACUCACUGAGGUCAGAUAAUUUAUCAGUUGCAACCAAUGAGACAUGGGAGCAAGGACGCAGGCCUGCAAGUCAAAUCAUGAAUGAAACCUUCACAACACCAUGUUCAAUGUUUAAAGUACGCCAUCUCAACCUACCAGAUGUUUCGGAAGUAAAGAACCUCUCUUUCAGCAAGCUCUCCCCUGCAAUGGCAUCAUCUAGCCCCAAGUUUCUGAAACCUAAAUUCAACCUAGAUGAAACAGCAUCUACUCUUUCUGAUGCAGCAUUCACAAUCAACAGCUCUCAGUCAUCAUCUUUCUCUGUCAAUCCACGGCGCCUGUCUAGAUAUCCUGUUGCCACAAAUCAUCUUCAAACACCACCGGAGGUUGAGCUAUCCUCUCUUAGCCGGAGACUUUUACACAAAUCAGCCGUCAAGAAAAAAUUUUAG
RNAcentral lists this long non-coding RNA (894 nucleotides) under Bemisia tabaci. Its description in RNAcentral is "lncRNA ENSSSA1UGG011456". Lineage: Eukaryota; Metazoa; Arthropoda; Insecta; Hemiptera; Aleyrodidae. The record is from RNAcentral.